GGAACAGAAAGCAUUUCAGCAGCCAGCCCUGCCACAAAGCACUAGGGGUUCUUGAGUAAGGGCUGCAGAAUUCUUUCUGAGAGGGACAAAAGAGAGACUUCCUGUCAUUCCCAUUACUUUCUGCAUGUGGGACCAAUAUGGGCAAUGCAAAGUUUAAACAGUUGCAAAUGGAGAAGGGGAGGGGGCAGUAUCAUGCCUUUCUCUAUUUCUCUAUUUCUAGGUUGAAUUGAAAGGGAAGUCUUAGCAUUCUCCUUUCAGAAAGCUAGUAGACCCCAGUGAAGUGCUUGUUUACUGGAUGCUUCAUUUCACCAUUAUUUGCUUAUGGAAAAUAAAGGGGAGUGACAGGAAAAGAGAGGGGGGGGCUGCUGGAGGGGGCUGGGGGAAGAGGGAGGCACUGACCACAGUGCAGCACCAGUAACCUUGUCUUAUGUGAUCAUUAACCUUGCUGGAAGGCGCAGCUGGCAGCUCACUCUGAGGUUUGUCAUUAGAAUUGUGAGCUGAGCCACACAGAUACUGCAGGAGUAUUUAAAGGAUUGUUUGGUUUUCUGGGAGCGCUCUGGCUAUCUUUCUGUGUGGAAGCAAAAUGAGAUUUCAGCUGCUCUUUUUUCUAUUCCUUUUUUUCACGAUGGGUAUACUCCUUAUCAAUGGACAAAGGCCAGGUAAUCUGGCUUUGAGGAGAAAACUGCAUAGACACAGCUGUCUACAGAGGAGAUGCAUACCCCUCCAUUCCCGGGUGCCCUUCCCCUGAGAAGCCAUUUCUAGUAUACCUGAACUACCAGGAAAUGAGGAAGAGGGAAUGAAGCAAAGAGACCUACUCAAGAAAACCUCAUUCUUACAACAUUGGGAUCUGUGUAGAGUCCUCCUACAGAAAGGAAUCAUCUGAAAUCAUCCAAGGACGAUUAUUUGUGAGCAUCAUGGGGGUCUGCAGUAUCUGGUUUUACUUCCAGGGAAAAAACAAGGAUUCAAAAGACUGUCUCUUAAUGAACUGCCAAUAUAUCAAGCCAGUCAAUUUAUGUUUCUGCAAAUUAGGAUGUUUAUAAGUUUAAAAGAGGAAAAAAAAAACUUUUCAUAAAUUGUAGUGGUGUUAUUAGAGUGGAAAAUCCUAGAUUUCUGUGUGAAUUUAUGCAUCCAAACCAAACAAGCUAUAAGAAUUUUAAACUAUUGUUUCUAACUCCAGGAAUACUAACUAUAGUUUUGAAAUUUAAAAAUUACUUAAGCUAUAUUUGUUUGAUCACAGGGGGAAAAAAACAAAACUCCAGUAUAGAUCUUUCAGCUGUUUUUUUACAAUCAAAUUUUACCAACCUGACUGUAGAAAUAAAAUAGAAAACACUGAAUCCAAUGGCAGUGUCCAGACAACUCUUAAAAGCAGGAAAUUAUUUCAUAGUUGACAUUUUAAACAAAUGAGUCUUGAUGUUUUAGUCAAUAUUGGUCACUUAAAAAUUUCAAAAGCAUAUUAUAAUAUAUAAAUUGAAAAAUAUAAAAUCCUUCUAAUGAAGAUUAUUUUAAAGGAAAAAGUUGUUCAUUUCUGAAAUGUUUUAGCAUCAAGAAAUUCUGAGAAAUAAAGAUCUAAAUUUCUGAAGCAUGAUUCCUAGUAGAUUUCUGCUUGACAGAUAUAAAUUAUAAAGAGUAAUUCUUAAGACAAUAGUUAUCUUGAAAGUGCCAUCCAGCUCUGUUUGUUUCCCAGGUUGCCCAUUUAAGAAAACUUAUUUAAAAUACAAUUACACUAGUCUGUUCUUAAAUAGACUAAUUUAUGUAUCAUUUAAAAAAAAACAAAAAACUUUUUCUCUUUGUACUUUAAUUUCCUGGUGAUGCAUCAAUCGUUUCAGAAGCACAUUCCCCUCAAAAGAAAGGAUGGUGAUAUAAAAUGAAUAAUCAAAAUUCCUAUUUUUCAGGGAAUUUAAAAUCCCAUAGGGGAAGGUCAAAAACAAAUAUCCAGUUACAAUGAAAGCACAAUGAAAUAAAUGCUGUACAAUAGAAUAAAUAUGAAAAAUUACUGGUGAAGUAAGAUGGUUCAGUUCUGGGAGGGGAAGAAAAAGAGGAGAAUAGAAGAAAAGAAAAUAUAUCAUCUUUGGAAAUUUUGAGUUCAUUAUAUAUUUGUAUUGGGAUUAAAUGAUUUUCAUUAUCUGACUAGAAAUUAGCUUCAAGAAUUCAUAAACAAUUUCCAUAUUGAAAAUAGAGGGCUUGAACUCCUGGUUUUACACUGUAAUCCUUGGUAGAAUAAGGAAGACACUAGGAAUCUCCAAAUGUUUUUAAUAAAAAAAGAAAAACAUUUAAGACUCACACAUAGGAGGAUUUUACAUUGGAAACUUUAUGGAACCACUUUGGAAUACUGUUCAAAUUGUCUUAUUAGGUACAAAGAUUUUAAAUAAGGCAGAGUAAAAUAAAAAACAUAAGCCAAAGGAUUUUAAGAAAUAAUGUUCCUUUGAAAAUUAGGCUAUCGAAAUAAAAAUUCUAGAUUUUUCAAUGAAUUUUAGGUCCUUACUAAAAAUGCAUCUAAAUAACUACAUGUUUCUAUCUUAUAUUUAUGAUUAUAUAAUAUGUAUUUGUCUGUAUAUUUUGUAAAAAGAAAAAACCUUAUGCACUUCAAAUAUAUCUCAUUUAAUAACAUUUUUAAAUGUUCUAUUUUAUUUUUUCAUUAGACUCUAUUAAUAGAAAAAAUCAAAAUCUGUUUCUAAGUUACCUGAUAUAUGGAAAAUUAAAAAAAAAAACAUGCUUCUUUUGUUUUUCAUGUUUUUGUGAAGCUUAAAUAAAAUAAAACCCAUUUGCUACAA
This 2771-nucleotide long non-coding RNA is filed under the name Sarcophilus harrisii (Tasmanian devil). RNAcentral describes it as "lncRNA (ENSSHAG00000020725.1)". Lineage: Eukaryota; Metazoa; Chordata; Mammalia; Dasyuromorphia; Dasyuridae. The record is from RNAcentral.